GGGUGUGACGGGUUGGCCGUCACAGGAAUCUGGAAUGGUCGGGCCGCCAUUC
Molecule: non-coding RNA, 52 nt
Filed under: unclassified sequences
Description: Li+-I sequence
Rfam family: nhaA-I RNA
About the family: Acidobacteria, Alphaproteobacteria, Betaproteobacteria and Gammaproteobacteria, Verrucomicrobia, cand. division NC10. Downstream gene
Source: Rfam by way of RNAcentral